Ceratocystis platani is the source of this 72-nucleotide transfer RNA. It matches the Rfam family "tRNA". From Rfam's summary of the family: Transfer RNA (tRNA) molecules are approximately 80 nucleotides in length. Their secondary structure includes four short double-helical elements and three loops (D, anti-codon, and T loops). Lineage: Eukaryota; Fungi; Ascomycota; Sordariomycetes; Microascales; Ceratocystidaceae. The record is from Rfam.
GCAACCUUAGUCUAGCGGUUAUGAUUUUCGCCUUCCAAGCGAAAGGUCCGGGUUCGACUCCCGGAGGUUGCA